RNAcentral lists this ribosomal RNA (250 nucleotides) under uncultured bacterium. RNAcentral describes it as "partial 16S ribosomal RNA". It matches the Rfam family "Bacterial small subunit ribosomal RNA", at positions 524 to 773 of the family's 1533-position model. The record is from RNAcentral.
UACGUAGGUUGCGAGCGUUAUCCGGAUUUACUGGGCGUAAAGCGCACCGAGGUGGCUUCUUAAGUCGGAUGUAAAAUCUCCUGGCUCAACUGGGAGGCGCCAUUCGAAACUGGGAAGCUUGAGUCCAGCAGGGGAAAGUGGAAUUCCCGGUGUAGUGGUGGAAUGCGUAGAGAUCGGGAGGAACACCAGUGGCGAAAGCGGCUUUCUGGGCUGCGACUGACACUCUAGUGCGAAAGCGUGGGGAGCAAAC